Molecule: ribosomal RNA, 497 nt
Filed under: uncultured bacterium
Lineage: Bacteria
Description: partial 16S ribosomal RNA
Rfam family: Bacterial small subunit ribosomal RNA
Source: RNAcentral
GAUGAACGCUGGCGGCGUGCCUAAUACAUGCAAGUCGAGCGAACGGACGAGAAGCUUGCUUCUCUGAUAUUAGCGGCGGACGGGUGAGUAACACGUGGAUAACCUACCUAUAAGACUGGGAUAACUUCGGGAAACCGUAGCUAAUACCGGAUAAUAUUUUGAACCGCAUGGUUCAAAAGUGAAAGACGGUCUUGCUGUCACUUAUAGAUGGAUCCGCGCUGCAUUAGCUAGUUGGUAAGGUAACGGCUUACCAAGGCAACGAUGCAUAGCCGACCUGAGAGGGUGAUCGGCCACACUGGAACUGAGACACGGUCCAGACUCCUACGGGAGGCAGCAGUAGGGAAUCUUCCGCAAUGGGCGAAAGCCUGACGGAGCAACGCCGCGUGAGUGAUGAAGGUCUUCGGAUCGUAAAACUCUGUUAUUAGGGAAGAACAAAUGUGUAAGUAACUGUGCACAUCUUGACGGUACCUAAUCAGAAAGCCACGGCUAACUACGUG